RNAcentral lists this ribosomal RNA (1109 nucleotides) under Nipponaphis distyliicola. Its description in RNAcentral is "partial 16S large subunit ribosomal RNA". The record is from RNAcentral. Lineage: Eukaryota; Metazoa; Arthropoda; Insecta; Hemiptera; Hormaphididae.
GUUAAUAUUCUUUAAAAUAGUAAUAUUUUUAUWWWAANUUUUAGUGUAUAUUAUAAAUUAAUAUUUAAAUAUUUAGGUGAAAAAUAUUGUGUAAGAAAUAAUUUAAAUUUUAUAUAUACCUUUAGUAUCACGGUUUGUAUCAAGGUGUAAUAAAAUUUUUAAUUUAUUUUAAUUUCUCAAAAUUUAUAGAGUUAAUUUUAUUAUUAAAUUAUUGUAUUAAAAAUAUUUAAAAAAUAAUAUUAGUUUUGAAAUUUAAUUCGUUAUAUUAUAUCUAGUUAUUUAAGAUUUAAAUUUAAUUUAAAAUUUUAAAAGUUUAAUUUAAUUUUUUUAUUUAUAUUUUAAAUUUAUAUUAUUUUAGGGAUAAGCUUGAAAUUUUUAUAUAAUAAUUAUUUAAUUUAAUAAUUUAUAGGAAUAGAAAUUUGUAUUUGAAGUUUGUAAAAAUUUGUUAUUAGUUUAAUUUUAAUUUAUUAGAAUUUGUUUAUUUAUAUUAUUAAAUUUUAUAAAUUAAUUUUUUAUUUAUAGUAAUAAUGAUUAAAUUAGUAUAAUGUUAAUUUAUAUAAUAUGAAUUCGGCAAAUAUUAUUUUUAUCUGUUUAACAAAAACAUUGUAUUAAGUUUUAUUUAAUAUAGGAUCUGCUCAAUGAUUUAUUAAAUAGCUGCAGUAUUUUGACUGUGCAAAGGUAGCAUAAUAAUUAGUCUUUUAAUUGAAGACUUGUAUGAAAGAUUUGAUAARAAAUAAACUUUAUUUAUUAUAUAAUUAGAAUUUUAUUUUUAAGUAAAAAAGCUUAAAUAUUUUAAAGGGACGAUAAGACCCUAUAAAACUUAAUAUUUAGUAUUUUUUWUUUUUUUUGGUAUAUAUAAAUUUAAAUAUUAUUAAUUAUUUAAAUGGGGUGAUGAAAAAAAUUUUUAAACUUUUUUUACAAUUUGACAUUGUUUAAUGGUAAUUUGAAUUAAAAUUUUUGAUUAUAAGAAAAAGUUACUUUAGGGAUAACAGCGUAAUUGAUUUUUUAAGUUCAAAUUUAAAAAUUACUUUGCGACUUCGAUGUUGAAUUUAGAUUAAUCUUAGGUGCAAAAUUUUAAGUAUUAGGUCUGUUCGACCUUUAAAUUCUUA